RNAcentral lists this ribosomal RNA (305 nucleotides) under uncultured bacterium. RNAcentral's name for it is "bacterial SSU rRNA". It matches the Rfam family "Bacterial small subunit ribosomal RNA", at positions 338 to 659 of the family's 1533-position model. The record is from RNAcentral.
CCUACGGGGGGCAGCAGUCGGGAAUAUUGCGCAAUGGAGGAAACCCUGAUGCAGCAACGCCGCGUGAGUGAAGAAGUAUUUCGGUAUGUAAAGCUCUAUCAGCAGGGAAGAAGAAAGACGGUACCUGACUAAGAAGCCCCGGCUAACUACGUGCCAGCAGCCGCGGUAAUACGUAGGGGGCAAGCGUUAUCCGGAUUUACUGGGCGUAAAUGGAGCGUAGACGGCAUAGCAAGUCUGAAGUGAAAGCCCGUGGCUCAACCGCGGAACUGCUUUGGAAACUGUUAAGCUGGAGUACUGGAGAGGCA